Long non-coding RNA from Brassica rapa (field mustard), 2099 nucleotides. RefSeq lists it as uncharacterized. The record is from RefSeq and is a predicted model, not a curated record. NCBI's taxonomy places the organism in Eukaryota, Viridiplantae, Streptophyta, Magnoliopsida, Brassicales, Brassicaceae.
CAGACGACUUCCAGGAAGUCUUCCAGACGACUUCCAGCAAGUCUUCCACACGACUUCAAAGAAGUCUUCCACACGACUUCCAGAAAGUCUUCCAGACGAUUUCUUGGAAGUCUUCCAGACGACUUCUUGGAAGUCUUCCAACCGACUUCUUGGAAAUCUUCCAAACGACUUCCUGUAAGUCUUCUAACGGAGUCUUCUUCCAUAUUAGGUGGUGUCUAAGCUUGUCUUUGUAGAAGAAUGAUCAAAAAUUGUUUUGUUUGUAGUAUGUUUUGUAAUUUUCAUGUAUACUCAUUUAGUUGUGACUUUUUUUGUAAAUUUGAAGAGAUAUUAAUAAAAAUAUUUGGUAAAUAUGUUCAUUUUCCACAAUAUUAUCUUGCCAAAAUUACUUGACAUAAUUGAAGUUAUUGAUACAACUUCAAUAGCAAAACACAAUAAAACAAAAAAUUAAUCAAAUUUAUUACAACUAAGGGAGAAGAAGUCUAAAGAAAACUUAGUCGAAUUUACAAAAUAUAAAACAUCACAUACGUUCAAAGAUAGAACACUUUAAUUAGAUACAUAAGUAAAAAGUAUAUUUUAUGAUCUAAGAAGACACAUUAAAACAUGUUACUUGAUAUUCUUGAACUUACUUAAUACUUUUGAAAAUUAAAUAAACAUAUCUUAAAAUUGCAUAACAAAUUUACAAAAACUAACGUAGAAGACUUAUGUGUAAGUGUUCUCAAUUAGGUAGAAACUUUACUAAGCAUGAAUGUUGGUAACCUCAUAAAUAUCACCAAUUAAGUUAUAAAUUUCAUUCAGUAGCCCCAGUAUUGACUAAUAUACAUAAAUUAACAAAACAAAUUUUAAAAGUCUUUAUAAUUUUAGAGAAAAUGAAAGUUUAUUAAACAUUGACGCAGGCGACUUCCACAGAGGUCGUCUGAUAGACUUCUAAUAAUUCGUCCAUUUAGGUUAGUUUUGCAAUUGAUUUUUAACCUAGACAACUUACAUGGAAGUCGUCCAUCUUUGUUUGUUAAAAAAAAAUUCGAGACGAUUUCUAUGUAAAUCGUCUAAGGAAAACAUGUUAGUUUUGCAUUUGACUGGAUUGUAUCAGAAAUUUAACUUUUCCUGGAUGACUUACACAUAAAUCGUCUAGUAGAAAAUUAAAAAAAAUUAAUAUUUUGUUAUACCUAGACGACUUCCAUAUAAGUCGUCAUAGGUUAGUUUUGAAAUUGAAAAAAAAAAAUAAAAAAAAUUAUUUUUUUAAGACGACUUACGAGAAAGUCGUCCAUCCGACAACUUACAUGGAAGUCGUCCAAGAUAAGCAAGGUUUGACCACAAUCUCAGAAUAAAAUCAUGGACGGCUUUCGUGUAAGUCGUCUAAACAAAAAUAAUAUUUUUUUAUUUUUCAAUUGCAAAACUAACAUGGGACGACUUACAUUGAAUUCGUCUAGGUAUAACAAAAUAUUGAUUUUUUUAAUUUUCUACUAGACGACUUACAUGGAAAAGUCAAAUUUCUGACACAAUCCGGUCAAAUGCAAAUCUAACUCGUUUACCUUAGACGAUUUACAUGGAACUCGUCUCGAAUUUUUUUUAACAAACAAAGAUAGACUAAUUCCAUGUAAGUCGUCUAGAAAAAACUCAUUAAAAAGUCAAUUGCAAAACUAACAUCUACAUUGACCAGAAGGCUUCCAUGUAAAUCGUUUACACCCAGACCUCUUACCCGGAAGUCAUCUGGAUGAACAGAUCUUGAAAAAAAAAACUAAUUUCAUAGUUUCAACCAAUGAGAUAACUUGUUUAGCACACAAAAGUUUUUUCCAAGCAUCCAGAAUCUCAAACAAAAGUGACCCACCAAGAAUCAUAAGCUUCAAUGGCUCAAUGAACCAUAAAAAAAUUAGAAUCAAAAUCUUGGGUUUUUUUUAUGAAUAUGAAGAGAAAGUGAAAGAAAUAUUGUUUUUAAUUCAUAAGAAUUGAGAAAGAAUGAGAGUAAAUCGAUUUGAGGUGCAUUAACAGUUUCAAAUUGGUUUUUCAUGAUGGUUGAUGUAUUGAUAACAAUAAUAUUCUUGUAAAUACUUGAAAAUGAUGAGGUUGAGAGAGUAAAAAUACCAUUUUCAAAAAAAAAAAAA